GGGUUGUGAGGUUAAGCGACUAAGCGUACACGGUGGAUGCCCUGGCAGUCAGAGGCGAUGAAGGACGUGCUAAUCUGCGAAAAGCGUCGGUAAGGUGAUAUGAACC
RNAcentral lists this ribosomal RNA (106 nucleotides) under Klebsiella aerogenes. Its description in RNAcentral is "partial 23S ribosomal RNA". It matches the Rfam family "Bacterial large subunit ribosomal RNA", at positions 1 to 97 of the family's 2925-position model. Lineage: Bacteria; Pseudomonadati; Pseudomonadota; Gammaproteobacteria; Enterobacterales; Enterobacteriaceae. RNAcentral also lists the same sequence under 6 other names. The record is from RNAcentral.